This 21-nucleotide non-coding RNA is filed under the name Caenorhabditis elegans. The record is from RNAcentral. Lineage: Eukaryota; Metazoa; Nematoda; Chromadorea; Rhabditida; Rhabditidae.
UAAGAUGGGUAAACAACUAAA